CCGAAAUCCGCGGAUCUCCAGAAUGCUCCGAACUGUGGUAAACGAACCGAACGGAUUCGGAUACAAUUCGAAUCCGCUGCAGGCCUAGUCCCUACAUGUACUCUGUCUCUCUCCCUGAAGACAACCUUCUCCUGUGUGCGGUCAGAGGUCAGCAGGUAGACUGACCUUCUCGUCCUCGUUGAGGGGGUCACCCAGCUCAUCCUGAGAGAAGUCCAGAUAGGCCACGGUACCAUCCAUAGAACACACCAGGAUCCCCAGCCCUACGGAGAGGGACCGGUCUUUGCUGCCCACGGCACAGCAGCAGUACGGACAGCUGCUGCUCUUCUGCUUCUUCUUAAAGAUCUUGGGAUUGAACUUCUACUGGGCACAGAGGCAGAGAGAGAAAAAUCUACUUGGUUUCCCCCUUGAAUUCUGUUCAGGCCUGGUGGAACGCACCGGGAAAAAACCCUUAACGGACGAGGAACGCGGAAUGACGUAUUGGCACGGUUGCUUCGGUCAAGUUUGUUCACUUGGUAUCAAGACUUCUAACAAGUGAUCACAAGGAGAGAAUGACUUUAAUAAAGUUAAUCUAUUGCAUUCAAAUAAAUAAAUCUUUAAACUCA
Long non-coding RNA from Gadus morhua (Atlantic cod), 602 nucleotides. RefSeq lists it as uncharacterized. The transcript is spliced from 2 exons. The record is from RefSeq and is a predicted model, not a curated record. NCBI's taxonomy places the organism in Eukaryota, Metazoa, Chordata, Actinopteri, Gadiformes, Gadidae.